Molecule: long non-coding RNA, 1102 nt
Filed under: Sinocyclocheilus grahami
Lineage: Eukaryota; Metazoa; Chordata; Actinopteri; Cypriniformes; Cyprinidae
Description: lncRNA (ENSSGRG00000038910.1)
Source: RNAcentral
UAUUUUGUAAUAGGAGAAGUAUUGUGUGAUUUGUAAUGAAAGCUUUCAUUCUAUAGAUCUGGGUAAGGACCCACUGGUGCGUGGCAGGCAGGUAGUAGAGAUCAGACACACUCUGACAGAGCCACGGGCCUUGACCGAUCCGGUGCGAACAUCUGGACACACCAUGGAGCUCCACCGGCGGGAUGCUUGUUGGAAACAGGCUAAUGUUCUUCCUUGCCGAAGGUCUCUGGACUUUCAGUACUGUGGUGUUAAGGUGGAGCUGAGUUUCUCUGCCCUGUUCUCCAAUGUCCUGGUUGUGUUUGCUACAGUGAGGAACUCAAGCGCUAUGGCCCAGGACUGCACUCUGAUUCUUGAGAGUGAACCACAAAUGCAGGACAUUUUCUCAGGUUCUGGUCGAUCAGAAGAAAUGGACAGUCUGCUUGUGAACAGUGGUGAAACUCCUGACUGCACCCUCAGAUUAUGUUGCCUUCAAAGACUUCAGGGAUCUCUGGUGAUCAAAGUGACACUGCACUACACCCACACACAAACUAAAGAACGUCUCACUGAGAGCAAAGAGCUGGACAUAGGCAGGCCUCUCAUUGCCUCCUGCAAGCUGAAUCAGAUGAGGCCAGUGGACAGGAGACAAGAGAGCCGUGUCCAUACUGUGGACCACAUGUCCAACAUAAGAUAUCCUCAUCAUCAGAACCAUCCUCGACCUGGUCAGCCCUACACACGCAAGGCUGAGAACCGAUUACAGAGUUCAGCCAAAUCCACCUCCACGAGCAGCAAUGAACCAGAGGAGAAUGAUGAAAAUGACUAAUGAAUUCACUAUGUGAUGUUGCGUCCCUCUACACACACACAGUAAGGCAUUGUUUUGAUGCAACAAAGGAUUUUUCUUACAUGAAUUAUUUACUUUUUGCUUACUAAUUACCAGUUGCGAUACAGUAAAUGUGUAUGUGUGAGAGAGAGAGAGAGAGAGAGCAACAAAAGGAAGAUGUUCUCAUGCAAAUGUAGAAAUAUUUAUACAAAUUAUUUGUAAAUCAAAUUAAGUGUAAUUUUCUUAUAUAACUAAUAAAGUACUACUUCUGUAGUUUUCCUGUGUGAUGAAAUUUCAUAUUCAAAU